RNAcentral lists this ribosomal RNA (254 nucleotides) under uncultured bacterium. Its description in RNAcentral is "partial 16S ribosomal RNA". It matches the Rfam family "Bacterial small subunit ribosomal RNA", at positions 524 to 776 of the family's 1533-position model. The record is from RNAcentral.
UACGUAGGGUGCAAGCGUUGUCCGGAAUUAUUGGGCGUAAAGAGCUCGUAGGCGGUCUGUCGCGUCUGCUGUGAAAACUCGGGGCUUAACCCCGGGCCUGCAGUGGGUACGGGCAGACUAGAGUGCGGUAGGGGAGACUGGAAUUCCUGGUGUAGCGGUGAAAUGCGCAGAUAUCAGGAGGAACACCGGUGGCGAAGGCGGGUCUCUGGGCAACAACUGACGCUGAGUGAGCGAAAGCCAGGGGAGCAAACGGG